CCUACGGGAGGCAGCAGUGAGGAAUAUUGGUCAAUGGGAGAGAUCCUGAACCAGCCAAGCCGCGUGAGGGAAGACGGCCCUAUGGGUUGUAAACCUCUUUUGUCGGAGAACAAAACCCGGGACGUGUCCCGGACUGCGUGUAUCCGAAGAAAAAGCAUCGGCUAACUCCGUGCCAGCAGCCGCGGUAAUACGGAGGAUGCGAGCGUUAUCCGGAUUUAUUGGGUUUAAAGGGUGCGUAGGCGGUCCGUUAAGUCAGCGGUAAAAUUGCGGGGCUCAACCCCGUCGAGCCAUUGAAACUGUCAGACUUGAGUUGGCGAGAAGUACGCGGAAUGCGCGGUGUAGCGGUGAAAUGCAUAGAUAUCGCGCAGAACUCCGAUUGCGAAGGCAGCGUACCGGCGCCACACUGACGCUGAGGCACGAAAGCGUGGGGAUCGAACAGGAUUAGAUACCCGAGUAGUC
RNAcentral lists this ribosomal RNA (459 nucleotides) under Salmonella enterica subsp. enterica serovar Goldcoast. Its description in RNAcentral is "bacterial SSU rRNA". It matches the Rfam family "Bacterial small subunit ribosomal RNA", at positions 338 to 795 of the family's 1533-position model. Lineage: Bacteria; Pseudomonadati; Pseudomonadota; Gammaproteobacteria; Enterobacterales; Enterobacteriaceae. The record is from RNAcentral.